AAAAGGUGGCUAUGCUACCGCCUUUGGAUGGGCCCGCGGCGCAUUAGCUAGUUGGUGGGGUAAAGGCUUACCAAGGCAAUGAUGCGUAGCCGAACUGAGAGGUUGAUCGGCCACAUUGGGACUGAGACACGGCCCAAACUCCUACGGGAGGCAGCAGUAGGGAAUCUUCCACAAUGGGCGAAAGCCUGAUGGAGCAACGCCGCGUGGGUGAAGAAGGUCUUCGGAUCGUAAAACCCUGUUGUUAGAGAAGAAAGUGCGUGAGAGUAACUGUUCACGUUUCGACGGUAUCUAACCAGAAAGCCACGGCUAACUACGUGCCAGCAGCCGCGGUAAUACGUAGGUGGCAAGCGUUAUCCGGAUUUAUUGGGCGUAAAGGGAACGCAGGCGGUCUUUUAAGUCUGAUGUGAAAGCCUUCGGCUUAACCGGAGUAGUGCAUUGGAAACUGGGAGACUUGAGUGCAGAAGAGGAGAGUGGAACUCCAUGUGUAGCGGUGAAAUGCGUAGAUAUAUGGAAGAACACCAGUGGCGAAAGCGGCUCUCUGGUCUGUAACUGACGCUGAGGUUCGAAAGCGUGGGUAGCAAACAGGAUUAGAUACCCUGGUAGUCCACGCCGUAAACGAUGAAUGCUAAGUGUUGGAGGGUUUCCGCCCUUCA
This 653-nucleotide ribosomal RNA is filed under the name uncultured bacterium. Its description in RNAcentral is "bacterial SSU rRNA". It matches the Rfam family "Bacterial small subunit ribosomal RNA", at positions 202 to 842 of the family's 1533-position model. The record is from RNAcentral.